GUCCCAUGAUGAGGACAGCCUUCAAUGUAAUUCUGUAAUCUUUCCCAUGCUUCAGUGAAUGAUUCAUCAUGUUGUUAUUGGAAACUUACAAUCUUCCCACACAGAGC
RNAcentral lists this small nucleolar RNA (107 nucleotides) under Sorghum bicolor (sorghum). RNAcentral's name for it is "Plant small nucleolar RNA R71". It matches the Rfam family "Plant small nucleolar RNA R71". Rfam says of the family: R71 is a member of the C/D box family of snoRNAs containing the C (UGAUGA) and D (CUGA) box motifs. Multiple nearly identical copies of this snoRNA have been identified in Arabidopsis, and it is thought to function as a 2'-O-ribose methylation guide for 18S ribosomal RNA. Lineage: Eukaryota; Viridiplantae; Streptophyta; Magnoliopsida; Poales; Poaceae. The record is from Rfam by way of RNAcentral.